GUGCACCAGGCGCGAAACUCCGCAAUACACGAAAGUGUGACGGGCCAUCCCGAGUGCCGUCCGCUGAGGACGGCUUUCCCCAGUGUACAUAGCUGGGGGAAUAAGGAGAGGGCAAGCCUGGUGUCAGCCGCCGCGGUAAUACCAGCUCUCCGAGUGGUGGGGACGCUUAUUGGGCCUAAAGCAUCCGUAGCCGGCUGGGCAAGUCCUCCGUUAAAUCCAACGAUUCAAUCGUUGGGCUGCGGGGGAUACUGUCCAGCUUGGGGGCGGGAGAGGCCGACGGUAUUCCCGGGGUAGGGGUGAAAUCCUAUAAUCCCGGGAGGACCACCAGUGGCGAAGGCUGUCGGCUAGAACGCGCCCGACGGUGAGGGAUGAAAGCUGGGGGAGCGAACCGGAUUAGAUA
Molecule: ribosomal RNA, 400 nt
Filed under: uncultured microorganism
Description: bacterial SSU rRNA
Rfam family: Archaeal small subunit ribosomal RNA
Source: RNAcentral